This 225-nucleotide ribosomal RNA is filed under the name uncultured bacterium. RNAcentral describes it as "partial 16S ribosomal RNA". It matches the Rfam family "Bacterial small subunit ribosomal RNA", at positions 524 to 745 of the family's 1533-position model. The record is from RNAcentral.
UACGUAGGGCGCAAGCGUUGUCCGGAAUUAUUGGGCGUAAAGAGCUCGUAGGCGGUUUUGUCGCGUCUGCUGUGAAAACCUAAGGCUCAACCUUGGGCUUGCAGUGGGUACGGGGCAGACUAGAGUGCGGUAGGGGGAGAUUGGAAUUCCUGGUGUAGCGGUGGAAUGCGCAGAUAUCAGGAGGAACACCGAUGGCGAAGGCAGAUCUCUGGGCCGUAACUGACG